AACACUGUAAGCUUCACUUGGUACAGCCUAAUUCAACUCGAUGGAACUCGUCUUUCAUGGCCGUGGAACGUGUGGUCAGAAUCAUUAAAGACCAAGGACAGGGGUCUGUGAGAAAGGUCUGUGCUGCACUCAAUGUUCCAAUGUACAGUCCGGCUGACAUAGCCUUUUUAGGGGAAUAUGUCACCACCAUGAGUCCAGUUGCGAAGUCCUUGAACAUACUACAAGGUGAAGUCAACAUUCAGAUGGGCUGGCUGCUCCCGACAAUCACCACCCUCACAACCAAGCUUGAAAAGUCCAGACCGUCACUCAGAUUUUGCAAGCCACUUGUUGAUGCUCUUCUUGAAGGUUUGAGGAAGCGGUUUGAGAGCAUGAUGUCAGAGCCAGAGCUAAUUGCAGCAGCCAUACUUGUUCCAAGGUUCAAAACCUCCUGGACCAGCAAUGACACAGUCCUACAGCUUGGCCUUAGUUACAUCAAGACACAUCUGCCAGAACAUGAUGAAGGUCUUCGGUCUCCUGAUACCACAGCAUCCUCUUCUGAAGAUGAUGACUUCUUCUCCAAUGUCAAGCCGACACAUUCCAAUGCGAUAAGUCAGCAACUUGAUGGAUACCUAGCCGCUACAGCUGAUGGAGUGAAUACACUGGCCCUCUAUCCAGCUGUGCGUAACCUCUCACUAAAGCUCAACACAGCCCUGCCAGCUUCAGCAGCGUGUGAAAGGCUUUUUAGCAUUGCCUGUUUGCUUUUCACCCCAAGAAGGGUGAACUUCUCCUCAAGUUGAACAAGGAGUUCAUGAAAUUUGAUUGAACUGAAGUACCACACACACACACACACACACACACACACACACACACACACACACACACACACACACACACACACACACACACACACACACACACACACACACACACACACACACACACACACAAAUAAUAAUACAAAUAAUUUGGUGGUGUGGAUGUUAGCCUUUCCACUUUUAAAGCAUACUAUGUCAUUGUGAAUUAUACUAGUGUUGUAAAUUAUUUGAUUUGAAUGACGGCAGUUUGCCUAAUUUUCAGCCUAAUUAGUUUUCAUACCAAUCAUUUAUAUAUUACUUUUCAUAUAUCAGUGUACAGUGUUAUAAAACUAUGCCCAUGCUGUUCUCAUAACUGAAAUCAUUUACUUAAUUACAUUGUUUUGGAAUUGUUUCUUGGAUAAGUAACAUAGUUAUUUUUCAGUGAGCAGUACUUGAGAGGUAUGUUGAAUGCAGUACUGUGCUGUAUAUUUUUGAUAUGUUGACACUGUAGCAUGAGUAGUCAUUGAGUCAUGAGUUGCUGUGUUUGAAAUGAGUGUCAUUCCCAUGUGGUGAGCCAAUUAUUGUGUCCGAUGAGAUAUAGUGCGAGUAGACACCACGCAUUAUCCUUUGUCACAACAUGUGAAGCCUUGUGUUACGCACUUGUUAGGCAAGUGAGAUGCUCAAUAAAGCGUAAAAAGAUAAA
Molecule: long non-coding RNA, 1476 nt
Organism: Gadus morhua (Atlantic cod)
Lineage: Eukaryota; Metazoa; Chordata; Actinopteri; Gadiformes; Gadidae
Exons: 3
Source: RefSeq, a predicted model, not a curated record